This 68-nucleotide transfer RNA is filed under the name Brachygluta helferi. RNAcentral's name for it is "tRNA-Met". It matches the Rfam family "tRNA". From Rfam's summary of the family: Transfer RNA (tRNA) molecules are approximately 80 nucleotides in length. Their secondary structure includes four short double-helical elements and three loops (D, anti-codon, and T loops). The record is from RNAcentral. Lineage: Eukaryota; Metazoa; Arthropoda; Insecta; Coleoptera; Staphylinidae.
UAAAAAAUAAGCUAAAUAAGCUAUUAGAUUCAUACUCUGAUAAUAAAGGUUCAAUCCUUUUUUUUUAA